AAGUGUUUGUAAGACUCCUUUAUUUCAUACACUGCAAAUAACUCUCAUCCCUUUCAGCUUAUCUAUGGAACUGUUUGAGGCGGAAAAAAACAUUUCAUAAAAUAAACCAAGAGGCAAGUGUCAACCAAAAAUGAGUGCAUGUUGACACGACUCUCGUAAGUUUACCCACCCCAUUCUCUCUAUGAUUAAUUAAUAUUACAAAAUUUUAAAAAAAUAUUUUUUUUGACAAAAAAAUUGAAUGGGAAGAGAUCUGGAAGACUAGAAGAAUGCAGUGUGAGAUGACAUAGCAAUACAUGAAC
This is a non-coding RNA of Biomphalaria pfeifferi, 299 nucleotides long. NCBI's taxonomy places the organism in Eukaryota, Metazoa, Mollusca, Gastropoda, Planorbidae. The record is from the annotation of a GenBank genome assembly.